Molecule: long non-coding RNA, 180 nt
Filed under: Struthio camelus australis
Lineage: Eukaryota; Metazoa; Chordata; Aves; Struthioniformes; Struthionidae
Description: lncRNA (ENSSCUG00000000349.1)
Source: RNAcentral
CUCCCCACAGCUAGUCAGGGGUUGUGACCACAUCUAGAAGUGGCUUUCCAGACCUUAUUAAAGCUGCAGGAGCACAUGUGACUCUCAAAGCAGGAGUUCAGCAGCUCCAGAAGGCUUCUGUGCACAGCUGAUCAGUGAAUCGGAGUUUGGCAGCAAGUUAUGCUGGCAGUAUCACCAGGC